Molecule: ribosomal RNA, 912 nt
Filed under: Eutreptia viridis
Lineage: Eukaryota; Euglenozoa; Euglenophyceae; Eutreptiales; Eutreptiaceae
Description: LSU rRNA
Rfam family: Eukaryotic large subunit ribosomal RNA
Source: RNAcentral
AGCUGGCUGGUCUCACGAGGUGAUUUCUGCCCAGUGCUCUGAUUGUCAACGCGAAGAGAUUCUGCAAAGCGCGGGUUAACGGCGGGAGUAACUAUGACUCUCUUAAGGUAGCCAAAUGCCUCGUCAACCAAUUAUUGACGCGCAUGAAUGGAUCAACGAGAUUCCUGCUGUCCCUAGCUACUGUCCGGUGAACCAACAGCCAAGGGAACGGGCUUGGAUGCGUCAGUGGGGAAAGAAGACCCUGUUGAGUUUGACUCUAGUCUGACAUUGUGCAACGUCAUGAAGGGUGUAGCACAGGUGGGAGGCAAGUGCCCUAUUGAGAAUGCAACACUUGACCUCUUAUCCUGGGUGCGAAUCGGCAAUGAAAUACCACUACCUUCACAGUCGUUUUACUCAUUGAGUGGCAUGGGAACGGCAGCCUCUGGUCAGCCAACGUGGGAGUUUCACAAGUUGUGGUGAGCUCCAUGGCCCCGCCGGUUCGAGCGCCAAAAACGGUCACUUCGGUGGCUGUUUGACCCUGUCUAUCGUCGAAGCUUCGGGACAACGCUCAGAUCGGGAGUUUGGCUGGGGCGGCACACUUGUUACAGAACAACACAGGAGUCCCGAAGCAAUGCUCAGGCAGAAUGGAAAUCUCUCGCAGAGGAGCAGGCCAAAGGCAUGGUUGAUGUGGCAACUUUCAGUAUGAGUUCAGAACACGCAAGUGUGGCCUUGCGAUCCUUUGGUGAAGCACGAGUUCCGGAUAUCGAAGCCAGAGGUGUCAGAAAAAUUACCACAGGGAUAACUGGCUUGUGGCAGCCAAGCGCUCAGAGCGACGUUGCUUUUUGAUCCUUCGAUGUCGGCUCUUCCUAGCUUCCCACCUGCAGCCGAGUGGAAGAGUUGGAUUGUUCACCCACCGACAGGGACGUGAGCUGG